This 255-nucleotide ribosomal RNA is filed under the name uncultured bacterium. Its description in RNAcentral is "partial 16S ribosomal RNA". It matches the Rfam family "Bacterial small subunit ribosomal RNA", at positions 221 to 470 of the family's 1533-position model. The record is from RNAcentral.
GAGGAUGGAUCCGCGGUGCAUUAGCUAGUUGGUGAGGUAACGGCUCACCAAGGCAACGAUGCAUAGCCGACCUGAGAGGGUGAUCGGCCACAUUGGGACUGAGACACGGCCCAAACUCCUACGGGAGGCAGCAGUAGGGAAUCUUCGGCAAUGAGACGAAAGCCUGGCCGAGCAACGCCGCGUGAGUGAAGAAGGUUUUCGGAUCGUAAAACUCUGUUGUUAGAGAAGAACAAGGAUGAGAGUAAAAAGUUCAUC